Molecule: ribosomal RNA, 655 nt
Filed under: Entamoeba gingivalis
Lineage: Eukaryota; Evosea; Mastigamoebida; Endamoebidae
Description: bacterial SSU rRNA
Rfam family: Eukaryotic small subunit ribosomal RNA
Source: RNAcentral
UUUACAAUUGUAGAAAUGAAUACAUUUUGACAAGGAAUCAAUGAAAAAUCUGACUAUCAACUAGUUGGUAGUAUAGAGGACUACCAAGGUUAUAACGGAUAACGAGAAAUUAGGGUUUGACAUCGGAGAAGGAGCUUUCAAAAUGGCUACUACUUCUAAGGAAGGAAGCAGGCGCGUAAAUUACCCACUUUUAACAGAAAGAGGUAGUGACGACAAAUAACUCUAUUCUUUAAGAAAAAGAAUUGAAGGAAUGAACGGAACGUACAUAGUUUUGUGAAAGCAAUUGGAGGGCAAGUCUGGUGCCAGCAGCCGCGGUAAUUCCAGCUUCCAAUAGUAUAUAUUAAAGUUGUUGUGAUUAAAAGGCUCGUAGUUGAAUGAAGAUACUAUUGAAAAGGCUUUUCUUUUUAUACAAAAAGAGAAGUUUAGUUAAACAAUAGAAGAAGGAAAUGGAUUACUUUGAAUAAAAUAGAGUGUUUAAAGCAAAACAAUGUUAAUGAAUAAUGAAGCAUGGGACAAUAAGAAGGAGAUUUGAAAGGAUUUCGAGAAGAAGAUUAAUAGGAAUAAUUGGGGGUAAUUUAGAAAAAGAUGGGAGAGGUGAAAAUCCAUGAUCAUCUUUAGAUAAACGAGAGCGAAAGCAUUUUACUCCAUUUAUAUU